CUUUUAUGAUUGGGUUUAUAUGAAGCUUUCACUACUUGGUAUAUUCAUUUACUUCUAACUUUGAACUGUUACUAACUAGGGGAAUCCGACUGUUUAAUAAAAACAAAGCAUUGAGAAUUUUUUUAGGAUUGAAAAUGUCUUUAACUCAAUGUGAUUUCUGCCCAGUGCUCUGAAUGUCAAUGUGAAGAGAUUCGAUGAAGCGCGGGUUAACGGCGGGAGUAACUAUGACUCUCUUAAGGUAGCCAAAAUGCCUCGUCAUCUAAUUAGUGACGUGCAUGAAUGGAUUAACGAGAUUCCUACUGUCCCUAUCUGCAAGCUAGCGAAACCACAGCGCAGGGAACGGUCUGCGUAAAAUGUAUAGCGGGGAAAGAAGACCCUAUUGAGCUUGACUCUAGUUUGUAUUUGUGAAAUGAUAUUAAGGGUGUAGCAUAAGUGGGAGAAGAAAUUCGAUCUUGAAAUACCACUACUUUAAUCAUUGCUUUACUAAGGAGAUAAUAGACAGACAAACAUACAGCAAUGUA
Molecule: ribosomal RNA, 521 nt
Filed under: uncultured eukaryote
Lineage: Eukaryota
Description: eukaryotic LSU rRNA
Rfam family: Eukaryotic large subunit ribosomal RNA
Source: RNAcentral